AGAGUUUGAUCCUGGCUCAGGAUGAACGCUGGCGGCGUGCUUAACACAUGCAAGUCGAACGGUAACAGAAAGAGCUUGCUCUUUGCUGACGAGUGGCGCACGGGUGAGUAAUAUAUAGGUAAUGUGCCCCUAAGACCGGGAUAGCCAUUGGAAACGAUGAUUAAUACCGGAUACACCUUUUUAACAUAAGUUGAUUUGGGAAAUGUUUUUUCGCUUAGGGAUCGGCCUAUAUCGCAUCAGUUAGUUGGUGGGGUAACGGCUCACCAAGACAAUGACGCGUAGCGGGUUUGAGAGGAUGAUCCGCCACACUGGUACUGAGACACGGACCAGACUCCUACGGGAGGCAGCAGUGAGGAAUAUUGCACAAUGGGGGGAACCCUGAUGCAGCAGCGCCGCGUGGAGGAUGACGCAUUUCGGUGUGUAAACUCCUUUUAUAUGCCAAGAAAAUGGCGGUAGCAUAUGAAUAAGCACCGGCUAACUCCGUGCCAGCAGCCGCGGUAAUACGGAGGGUGCAAGCGUUAUUCGGAAUCACUGGGCGUAAAGGACGCGUAGGCUGGUUGCCAAGUCUGAUGUGAAAUCCUAUGGCUUAACCAUAGAACUGCAUUGGAAACUGGUAACCUAGAGUAUGGAAGGGGCAGAUGGAAUUAGUGGUGUAGGGGUAAAAUCCGUAGAUAUCACUAGGAAUACCUAAAGCGAAGGCGAUCUGCUGGGACAUUACUGACGCUAAGGCGUGAAAGCGUGGGGAGCAAACAGGAUUAGAUACCCUGGUAGUCCACGCCCUAAACGAUGAACACUAGUCGUCGGAGUACUAGUUACUUCGGUGAUGCACUUAACAGAUUAAGUGUUCCGCCUGGGGAGUACGGUCGCAAGAUUAAAACUCAAAGGAAUAGACGGGGACCCGCACAAGUGGUGGAGCAUGUGGUUUAAUUCGAAGAUACGCGAAGAACCUUACCUGGCCUUGACAUUGAUAGAACCUGCUAGAGAUAGCGGGGUGCCCUUCGGGGAGCUUGAAAACAGGUGCUGCACGGCUGUCGUCAGCUCGUGUCGUGA
This 1050-nucleotide ribosomal RNA is filed under the name uncultured Campylobacterota bacterium. Its description in RNAcentral is "bacterial SSU rRNA". It matches the Rfam family "Bacterial small subunit ribosomal RNA", at positions 8 to 1070 of the family's 1533-position model. The record is from RNAcentral. Lineage: Bacteria; Pseudomonadati; Campylobacterota.